RNAcentral lists this microRNA precursor (41 nucleotides) under Macaca fascicularis (crab-eating macaque). RNAcentral's name for it is "microRNA 6891". Lineage: Eukaryota; Metazoa; Chordata; Mammalia; Primates; Cercopithecidae. The record is from RNAcentral.
UAAGGAGGGGGAUGAGGGGCCCUCAUCCUUCCCCUCCUUUC